Felis catus (domestic cat) is the source of this 2639-nucleotide long non-coding RNA. RefSeq lists it as uncharacterized. The record is from RefSeq and is a predicted model, not a curated record. The transcript is spliced from 5 exons. Lineage: Eukaryota; Metazoa; Chordata; Mammalia; Carnivora; Felidae.
UGUCAGCACAGAGCCCGACGCAGGGCUUGAACCCACAAGACCAAGAGAUCAUGACCUGAGCUGAAGUUGGACGCCCAACCGACUGAGCCACCCAGGAGCCCCCCCUUUUCUUUUUUAAAUUGGGUCGUGUUCAAACGUCCUAUGCUUGAUACAAGAUGAAGGUAGAUGAAGAGAUAAUGAAGGAAACAUUAAAUGGGCCUUCCAAGAACAUAUUUCUUUUUAAACAAUUCCUAAAGAGAUAGUCAAAAGCAGUGUAAUGUACUGUCCUAAUCUAUUCCACACAGCUAGUGUGAGGUAUAUAGAAGCGUAUUGCUGACAUUUCAACAUCCAGCAGUAGAGGGCAGCACUGCCUUUCUUUUGCAAAAGGCUGAGUGCUCAUAAGAAGGAAAAUAAAAGACACUCUUGACUACAGUGUCUGUGUGUUUACUUUUACCUAAUACUUUAGAGGAAAAAAAAAUUAGAGUCUUUUUCUUAUUGUUUAGGUGAUUAGGUAGAAAGAACGUCAGAGCCUGUAUUGCCUUGAAGUAACUGGUGAAAAACAUAGAGUAUGCUCAGGAUAUGGGUUCUGCCUAGGAAAGAUAAACAGUAGCUUGACCCUGUGCAAUCAGAUAGGGUUAUUGUAUGAACAGACCUAAUUCUCCUGCACUUUCUGGAUAGAAAUCAAUCUGAACUAGCAGGAUGUGGUUUUAAAAAUGUGUGUAACUCAUAUGGGCUUAGCCCUGAUAACUGCUUUUGAAUCCUAAUUCACUGACUUUAUUCUGCUGUCUGAGUUAGCUUUCCUCUCUGUCACACUUGGAUCAGAUCAGACCUACCUCAGUUAUACCACUUGUAUUAUGACCUUAAAGAAUGAUGUCAGACAUGAUGGUAAGGAAUGUCUUUCAUGAGACUGUAGCUGUCUAAGGGACUAUGUAUAUCUGGCGGGGAAACUGAAAGCUUGUAUCUGGUCCUCAUUCUAUUGGACUGUGAUUUGAGUUUCUCUAUCCUGCAUUGCACUAGGUGUUAAGGAUAACAUGGUGAACAAAAAGGCUAAGUCCUUGUCCUCAUGGCUUCUCUAAUCUGAUGGAGAAGACACAUAAUAACACUGCAUAAAUGAAAUUAUGAACAUCACAGCCUUGGAAUCCAUUCUACCAGAAUAUGUAUACAAAGAUGUAUGUGCACAAAGGCUCAUUGCGGCAUUAUUUGUAAGAGCAAACAUGUUGGAGACAAUUUUAGUGUCCGCCAAUUAGUGAAUGAUCACAUAAGCAGGGCACAUCCAUAUAAUGCAAUACUGUGCCAACGAAUAAAGCAAAUGAGGAAGACUUAUAUCUACUGCCAUGAGAAUAUCUCCAAGAUACCAUCCAAUCCAAUGAUAUACUUGGCAUUGACACUAACAACCUCUCUAGUUCCUUGGAUAACUCACCCAUGUAAUUGCAAAAAGCAUGCCGAUUAAGCCUUUGUAGGAGGGAUGUGCAUCCUGUCUAGGGAAAAAUUCUCAAGAGUCGGCUGGGAUAGCUCUUCCUCUUUGAAAUGGUGAGUAGGCACUGGAAGUGUAUAAUGAGAGAAAUUACUUAUGAAUCUGUCCCUCUCAGCCCCAGGCCACUUUCUCUGAGAAAGACUCAAGGAUCUUACCCUAAUAGCAUUGGAAUAAAGUCAGUGCAGAGGCCGACCGACACAGAGCAAGGCUUCCAGCCCACAGGGGGGCCCUGCUGACAGCUCGUUAGAAACUGUCUCUCUCCUGAACCCCCUUUCAUUUCUUCAAGUUACAAAUCCUGACAGACUUUGAUGGGAAAAGCAAGGCGGUAAGAUCCCCUGUGGCAAGCAAGUCCCUGCUCAUCUAUCUGUGUUUGACAGAUAAGGAGAGUAGAUGUCAUCUACAAAACGUUUUGCUCACCUGAGCCAAGUGAGCCAGGACGGCCGUGCCGCCCUUUGCAGGGCCCUCCCUCAAGAGUGAUCCAGACAAGACCCACCGACCACAACUGAGAUUUCUCUCAAAAGAAAAUCAUUGUAACCAGACAGCUCCUGGAAACUGAAUGCCCACUCUAGUCCUCAGAAAAGUGCAUAACACUUAAUAACUCCAAGGAAGUUAUGCUUUGAUUAGCAAAAACCUUUUCCGAGUUACACCCUCCUCUUGGUCUUUGAGGGCUGGUGACCAGUUAAGAUCUGAGAAGUCUGUCUGAGAUUCUGAGCAGAGUGUCUGGGCCUCCAACUUUGCCAAAUUACUGGGAAAGGGAGUGUGAUAAAAGGAAACGAAACGCCACUGUGCUCCAGACUUCAGAGACUGAACACGCUGGUAUCUCAAGGUCUCUUCAACCGUCUGUCAGUGGCUCUCCCACUUUAACACGCCUUGGAAAAAUCUGUGACGUUCAUUUAAAAUGCAGAUCUUGAUUCAGUAGGUCUGGAGUGAGUGGGUCCAAGGAAUCUGCAUUUUAACAAACUCUCUAGGUGAUUCUGGAUGCAGGUGAUCCUGGGGCCCCACUUUGAGAAGCACUGCUGCUCCCUGUUGCUACCUGCACCAGCACCUCCAGCAAGGGCUCCUAAGGGUGUUCCCAGCACUUUUUGCGGGGGAGUUCCUCUCCCCCUUGGCCAACAGUCCCAGAGCCGGUUCUCAGCAGCCAUUUCAAUUGGAAGUGGAGCCAGCUGUCUCCAGGAUUCUUCUUCAG